GAUGAACGCUGGCGGCGUGCUUAACACAUGCAAGUCGAACGGAAAGGCCCAAGCUUGCUUGGGUACUCGAGUGGCGAACGGGUGAGUAACACGUGGGUGAUCUGCCCUGCACUUCGGGAUAAGCCUGGGAAACUGGGUCUAAUACCGGAUAGGACGAUGGUUUGGAUGCCAUUGUGGAAAGUUUUUUCGUUGUGGGAUGAGCUCGCGGCCUAUCAGCUUGUUGGUGGGGUAAUGGCCUACCAAGGCGUCGACGGGUAGCCGGCCUGAGAGGGUGUACGGCCACAUUGGGACUGGGAUACGGCCCAGAGUCCUACGGGAGGCAGCAGUGGGGAAUAUUGCACAAUGGGCGCAAGCCUGAUGCAGCGACGCCGCGUGGGGGAUGACGGCCUUCGGGUUGUAAACUCCUUUCGCUAGGGACGAAGCGUUUUUGUGACGGUACCUGGAGAAGAAGCACCGGCUAACUACGUG
Molecule: ribosomal RNA, 468 nt
Filed under: uncultured bacterium
Lineage: Bacteria
Description: partial 16S ribosomal RNA
Rfam family: Bacterial small subunit ribosomal RNA
Source: RNAcentral